GACAGAGGUCCCGAGCGUUAGGCGGAAUCACUGGGCUUAAAGCGUGCGUAGGCGGAGUGCUAAGUACCUUGUGAAAUCCCACGGCUCAACCGUGGAACUGCUUGGUAUACUGGUUCUCUUGAGCCACCUAGGGGCAACCGGAACAAACGGUGGAGCGGUGAAAUGCGUAGAUAUCGUUUGGAACGCCAAUGGUGAAAACAGGUUGCUGGGGGUGUGCUGACGCUGAGACACGAAAGCCAGGGGAGCAAACGGG
RNAcentral lists this ribosomal RNA (253 nucleotides) under uncultured bacterium. Its description in RNAcentral is "partial 16S ribosomal RNA". It matches the Rfam family "Bacterial small subunit ribosomal RNA", at positions 524 to 776 of the family's 1533-position model. The record is from RNAcentral.